GGAGAGAUUAGAGGAGGCUAUGCUCAUCUGUGGGGCACAGUAGUCAGGACCAGGGAUGAGCUCCACCAUGGCUUGGUCCCCUCUCCUCCUCACCCUCCUUGCUCACUUCACAGGGUCCUGGUCCCAGUCUCUGCUGUCUCAGCCAUCCUCCAUGUCUGGGGCCCUGGGCCAGAAGGUCACCGUCUCCUGCACUGGAAGCAGCUCCAACAUUGGGGGUGGAUGGAAUGUGAACUGGAUCCAACAGCUGCCAGGAAAAGUCCCCAGAACCGUCAUCUAUAGUAAUAACAACCGACCAUCGGGGAUCCCGGAUCGAUUCUCUGGCUCCAGGUCUGGCAGCUCAGGCACCUUGACCAUCACUGGGCUCCAGGCUGAGGGCGAGGCAGAUUAUUACUGCACAUCAUGGGACAGCAGUCUCAGUGCUCACACAGUGCUCCAGUCAUGA
Non-coding RNA from Ailuropoda melanoleuca (giant panda), 442 nucleotides. The record is from the annotation of a RefSeq genome assembly. Lineage: Eukaryota; Metazoa; Chordata; Mammalia; Carnivora; Ursidae.